AGAUGUGAGGGCAAUCUGGCUGCGACACCUGUCACCCCAUGAUCGCCAGGGUUGACUCGGCUGAUCUGGCUGGCUAGGCGGGUGCCCCUUCCUCCCUCCACGCUCCAUGCGCAUCCCUCUGGAAGCCAGGCACGCUGACAGGGAGGACAACCACCCCGGAUGGAGGAGCACUGUUCCUCGGUCAAGGGCAUCAGAGUAGCUGUGCUCCCCACUGGAAGCUGCAAGCAAGCCCCCAGGUCCCUUUAUCAUCCAAACUGGAGCUGGUAAUAUGCAUUUUACAUGUUCUCUUCCUAAGUGGUUCAUGCUGCUUGUU
This 313-nucleotide small nuclear RNA is filed under the name Octodon degus (degu). RNAcentral's name for it is "7SK RNA (ENSODEG00000024781.1)". It matches the Rfam family "7SK RNA". From Rfam's summary of the family: 7SK was discovered as an abundant small nuclear RNA in the mid-70s but a possible function has only recently been suggested. Two independent studies have found that 7SK RNA binds the CDK9/cyclin T complex (known as elongation factor P-TEFb). P-TEFb activates transcription by phosphorylating the C-terminal domain of RNA polymerase II. Lineage: Eukaryota; Metazoa; Chordata; Mammalia; Rodentia; Octodontidae. The record is from Rfam by way of RNAcentral.